AUGUUUUUUGUUUUGUAUGUCUUUCAUAGAUUUUCAUUUGGAAUAGAUAAGGUAACCAACACACUGUAUGUUGUUUUAGGAUAACUACUCAGAAUUGCUGUAUGUUGAAAAUUACCUGAAGGGCAUGCUUUUAUUGUAGAUAGUUCUAGAUUAACAUUGAUAGUUGUUGGACUCAUAUGUGAAGUGUGGGACCUUGUAUUCUUUGGUGGCUAUGUUAGGUGAU
This 223-nucleotide unclassified non-coding RNA is filed under the name Hevea brasiliensis (rubber tree). Lineage: Eukaryota; Viridiplantae; Streptophyta; Magnoliopsida; Malpighiales; Euphorbiaceae. The record is from RNAcentral.